GCCUGUAUAGCUCAAUGGUAGAGCAGUUAUAAUCUUAAAUUUGUCCCUAGAUCGGUAUAUACAAAGUUCAGAUUAUAAAAGGAAGAAGUCAUAUGCCAUUGCAAUGUCGUAUGACGGGGGUUCGAAUCCCCUCUACAGGCA
Molecule: transfer RNA, 141 nt
Filed under: Methylophaga sp.
Lineage: Bacteria; Pseudomonadati; Pseudomonadota; Gammaproteobacteria; Thiotrichales; Piscirickettsiaceae
Description: tRNA-OTHER
Rfam family: tRNA
About the family: Transfer RNA (tRNA) molecules are approximately 80 nucleotides in length. Their secondary structure includes four short double-helical elements and three loops (D, anti-codon, and T loops).
Source: RNAcentral